Molecule: ribosomal RNA, 301 nt
Filed under: uncultured bacterium
Lineage: Bacteria
Description: partial 16S ribosomal RNA
Rfam family: Bacterial small subunit ribosomal RNA
Source: RNAcentral
CAGCCGCCACGGUAAUACAGAGGGUGCGAGCGUUAAUCGGAUUUACUGGGCGUAAAGCGUGCGUAGGCGGCUUCUUAAGUCGGAUGUGAAAUCCCUGAGCUUAACUUAGGAAUUGCAUUCGAUACUGGGAAGCUAGAGUAUGGGAGAGGAUGGUAGAAUUCCAGGUGUAGCGGUGAAAUGCGUAGAGAUCUGGAGGAAUACCGAUGGCGAAGGCAGCCAUCUGGCCUAAUACUGACGCUGAGGUACGAAAGCAUGGGGAGCAAACAGGAUUAGAUACCCCUGUAGUCCCUGUUUCUUAUAC